GAUGAAGAACGCAGCGAAAUGCGAUAAGUAAUGUGAAUUGCAGAAUUCAGUGAAUCAUCGAAUCUUUGAACGCACAUUGCGCCCCCUGGUAUUCCGGGGGGCAUGCCUGUUCGAGCGUCAUUUCACCACUCAAGCCUCGCUUGGUAUUGGGCAACGCGGUCCGCCGCGUGCCUCAAAUCGUCCGGCUGGGUCUUCUGUCCCCUAAGCGUUGUGGAAACUAUUCGCUAAAGGGUGUUCGGGAGGCUACGCCGUAAAACAACCCCAUCUCUAAGGUUGACCUCGGAUCAGGUAGGGAUACCCGCUGAACUUAAGCAUAUCAAUAAGCGGAGGA
This 331-nucleotide unclassified non-coding RNA is filed under the name soil metagenome. RNAcentral describes it as "partial contains 5.8S ribosomal RNA, internal transcribed spacer 2, and large subunit ribosomal RNA". The stretch from base 1 to 120 matches the Rfam family "5.8S ribosomal RNA", at positions 35 to 154 of the family's 154-position model. The record is from RNAcentral.